RNAcentral lists this ribosomal RNA (384 nucleotides) under uncultured bacterium. Its description in RNAcentral is "bacterial SSU rRNA". It matches the Rfam family "Bacterial small subunit ribosomal RNA", at positions 30 to 416 of the family's 1533-position model. The record is from RNAcentral.
AUUGAACGCUGGCGGCAUGCCUUACACAUGCAAGUCGAACGGCAGCACGGGGCAACCUGGUGGCGAGUGGCGAACGGGUGAGUAAUGCAUCGGAACGUGCCAUUGAGUGGGGGAUAACGUAGCGAAAGUUGCGCUAAUACCGCAUAUUCUGUGAGCAGGAAAGCAGGGGGCCGCAAGGCCUUGCGCUCUUUGAGCGGCCGAUGUCAGAUUAGCUAGUUGGUGAGGUAACGGCUUACCAAGGCGACGAUCUGUAGCGGGUCUGAGAGGAUGAUCCGCCACACUGGAACUGAGACACGGUCCAGACUCCUACGGGAGGCAGCAGUGGGGAAUUUUGGACAAUGGGCGCAAGCCUGAUCCAGCCAUGCCGCGUGAGUGAAGAAGGCC